Pogonomyrmex barbatus (red harvester ant) is the source of this 1051-nucleotide long non-coding RNA. RefSeq lists it as uncharacterized. NCBI's taxonomy places the organism in Eukaryota, Metazoa, Arthropoda, Insecta, Hymenoptera, Formicidae. The record is from RefSeq and is a predicted model, not a curated record.
AAUGUAUAUGUAAGGGUGUGUAAAAAAAAUUAUCGUCCUUUUAAAUUAUUUCGAUUUUUUACUAGAAUUUUUACUAUGCUAUAUGUAUAGAUCAUAAAAUGUAAUUGUACCUAUCGCAUCGAUACGCUCACGAGUUGUCAAUUGUGAAAAUUGAUUAGGCGCAUGGACACCGACGAUCGCCAAUUGUGUGAAACAAUUGCGUUCAGAAUCUUGUGGUACCUGUCGUGAUCGCAUCUUCGGAAGUAAUGGGGGUUCGUGUCCCACCGGCUCUCGAAUGAUAGUGCGGGGAUCUUAGAUCGUAAAUGGUGCUGUCCACAAACGAGCGACGAGCAUCGUGUUUACGAUGUCAGCCAGGGGUGAUCGCUGAUCCAGAAGUGAUGCUGAAGAUGCACGACAGCAUGAGAUGAGUGUUGGUUUUCUUUCUCGGGACAAUGACAAUGCAGCAAUUCUUGGCAGCUGCUCGUCCCCUUUCACCAAUAACAAUUUUUGCAACGAGGCCUGCAGCGACAAUGCUCGAGGAUUUUUCUCCUCGCACAUGCAAUAUGCAUCGAGAAAAAAAUCUCUGCGUAAUUGUGUUCUUCACGUGGAUUGUUUUGCGGAAAAUGAUACUUUCGUUUGUGUUGAAUGGACGCUACACAUAAUAACACAACAAAUAUUUGGUGGGGAUAAACAUAAAAUUGAAGUUUUCACGCCCGAGAUAUUUUUCAAGCGUAUUUCUUUACAUGAGAGAAACGCAGGGCCGCGGUACCGCAGAAUAAAUUCAGUGCGCAGUGAAUAAAUAUACCGCCCGUUGUUGAUGUUGUUUGUAAUAUUUUAUAAAAUGCAUUAAAAAUUUAUCUCACCAUGUUAAUGCAAGUUCUACAUCUGCUUAAUGUUUUUCUAAAUAAAUAUUAAAAUAAUUAAAAAAAUGUAAAGUAUUACGUAGAACGCAUAAAUUUGUAAGUAGAAUUAACGAUAAUGCGUUUAUAUAAAAAUCUAGAUAUAAUUAUUACAAUUUAUUAUAUGUACCAGUUCUCUUUGUUUAAACUAAACUAACUGCAGUUUAAGAUAA